CAUUGCCACCAGGGGAAACACUAGCAUUCGUCCUGUACACACAUACCACCUACGUUAUUUAUUUUCAAUUUGUUCUUUUCUCUUCUUUGCAGGUGCCCAGAGAUGUGAUAAAGGACUGCUCGACUCCGUCUCCGGGCUGAAUCAAAGUGCAAAACAGAGGACCUGACCCAAACAUAACAGGUGCAUUUUCCCACUGAACACCACCAAACACCAACCUCUGCUAAUUCCAUAUGGAAGAAGAAGGCCAACUUAAAUUCCUGACCCACAAAAUGGAAACUGAUGGCAUUGGACCUACUAAUAUGGAGAUAGGUUUGAAAAAGAAGCUUUCUGUAGAGAGGAUAGAUCAAAUAAACAUAAAAGCUAAGGCUGGUAGAUCCGAUCAUGAUUGUCUUUCAUGCUAUUAGGGAAGACACAACUUGUUGACAUUUAAGUUCUGCCACCAAGCUAGAGUGAGGAAGGAAACAAAUAGGAUAUGAUAUCUCAAUGUGUCCUUUCUCAGCUUCGAGGAUAACAAAAAAGAACAAGGAAAACCAGAGAUAAUCUCCCACUACGGGGUUUUAUAGCUCUGAAGCAUGAAGAAAUUGUGUUGGAUAGCUUUUUUGCUAUCAUUUUUUCUGUAAGGUCAGGAGAGCAAUCAUAGCAUUAAGGGACAAGUAGGCAAAGCAGCACAAUCACAGAAUGUCAAAAUGUAUCUGGGGAGGAUGAGAUAAGCAUCUGCGUUCUAAAGCAUAUUAAAAGAAAAUGAUCCUUGAGGGAAGGAAGGAGGAAACCUGAAAUCAUAAGCAUAUUUUUUAAAAACCAGAAAUCCAGACAUCUUAAAGUACCCAUAGGCUAAUAUUCAAUUACAAUUCCUUUCUGCAAGUGUUUACUAAGAAACUACAUCUGAAGAACACUGCUUGAGACCCAAAGCUCCAGGCAUUGGGUAUGUAGAAGUGUGCCUUCAAAAGCUCACAACUACAUCUACAGACAGAUAUUUAUAUAAAUAGCUAUAAUGCAGUAUGAUUAGCCUAGGGUAGAUACCAAUUUUCAGUCUUGUAAACUGGAUCAAUUAGUUUUCUUAGAAAGUCAGACAAAUCCCCAUGGUGACUAGCUUAAAGGGAAUUGGUGCAUUUAAUGAUUUCUAUCCAAUUUGUGUCUAAGGCUGUGGAGACAUCUUAUUAAAAACCUGGGCUCAGGAAAUUCUUGCUCCCACCCUGUGCACCAUACUUUCUACCUGUCUAGCCUGUCAGUCUCCAUUGUUUGGUCUUGACACCUAGAUUCAGACAUUGUGAAGAGACUUAAAAGGAAUAUACUCAUAUGGAUUUGGAGUGAGUGACCUACACAAGGUGUCUAUCUUAAGAAGGACAAGUCUGCAGUCAGUGAAUAUUUCAUUCAAAGGAAAUCCUUUCCCCUUUGUUCCAUUAUAUGGCAGCUUUAUCAGUCCCUGCCAGUCUGCAUUUGCAGCAAUACCCUCCAUUUUCUUUUAUCUCAGGUCUCCUUUCAAUGAUUUUGGUAUAAUUACAUAGAGCUGGAAUCCUUUUGUUUUAUCAUAUUUGCUAUUUAGGCUUUAUCUAUUGACACGGAAGGACACAAUUGUCUGAACUGUGUUCCUAGUGCCAAAUAAUUGAGGUAUCCUGUCCCAAAGAAAUAUUCUGCAACACUUCAUAACUACUGUAUAUCCAAAAUCCACAUCAUCGGGGAAUAUCCUCCAAGGUAAAAUAACUUACAAAAUGGGAUGAAAUUUCCAUGUGCAGGCUCUUCUCCUCAACAUUGAUCUCAAUGCUUCAAAGUAAUGACAGUAAGAUACAGAAGCCAGGGAGGCUGCUAAACAUCUACACUGCACAGGACAGCCUUCUACCACAAGAAUUACUGGCCCAAACCAUCAACAGUGGCAAGGUUGAGAAACCCUGAGUUAGAGUACAAUUUAAAUAUUGUUACACAAAGACACCAAAAUAAGUGACUCAAACAAGAUAGAAACACAACAAAACAAGAUAGAAGUUUUAUUGUCAGCAGUGGAAAGUGGAUCUGUAAACAAACCCAGGUUCCUUCUAUCUUGUUGCUCUGCAUUUCACUAUGGUAUUGUCCCUGUCAAAUGGUUGAGGCUGACUUUCCAGCCUUGUCUUAACUUUUUUUUAAGGGAAGGAAUAAACAUUAUUGUAAUAUUGUUACAAAGAAAAAAGGCUGGAACUAUCUUUUCUUUUAAGUCAGUAAAUAAACUUUAGCAACAUCUUAGCCAUUA
This is a non-coding RNA of Callithrix jacchus (white-tufted-ear marmoset), 2218 nucleotides long. The record is from RefSeq and is a predicted model, not a curated record. NCBI's taxonomy places the organism in Eukaryota, Metazoa, Chordata, Mammalia, Primates, Cebidae.